GACGAACGCUGGCGGCGUGCCUAAUACAUGCAAGUUGAGCGCUGAAGGUUGGUACUUGUACCGACUGGAUGAGCAGCGAACGGGUGAGUAACGCGUGGGGAAUCUGCCUUUGAGCGGGGGACAACAUUUGGAAACGAAUGCUAAUACCGCAUAAAAACUUUAAACACAAGUUUUAAGUUUGAAAGAUGCAAUUGCAUCACUCAAAGAUGAUCCCGCGUUGUAUUAGCUAGUUGGUGAGGUAAAGGCUCACCCAGGCGAUGAUACAUAGCCGACCUGAGAGGGUGAUCGGCGACAUUGGGACUGAGACACGGCCCAAACUCCUACGGGAGGCAGCAGUAGGGAAUCUUCGGCAAUGGACGAAAGUCUGACCGAGCAACGCCGCGUGAGUGAAGAAGGUUUUCGGAUCGUAAAACUCUGUUGGUAGAGAAGAACGUUGGUGAGAGUGGAAAGCUCAUCAAGUGACGGUAACUACCCAGAAAGGGACGGCUAACUACGUG
Molecule: ribosomal RNA, 497 nt
Filed under: uncultured bacterium
Lineage: Bacteria
Description: partial 16S ribosomal RNA
Rfam family: Bacterial small subunit ribosomal RNA
Source: RNAcentral